This 754-nucleotide ribosomal RNA is filed under the name Flavobacterium sp. MHF ENV 5. Its description in RNAcentral is "bacterial SSU rRNA". It matches the Rfam family "Bacterial small subunit ribosomal RNA", at positions 40 to 796 of the family's 1533-position model. The record is from RNAcentral. Lineage: Bacteria; Pseudomonadati; Bacteroidota; Flavobacteriia; Flavobacteriales; Flavobacteriaceae.
CCCCCCCCUUAACCCCAUGCAAGUCGAGGGUAGAAGAAGCUUGUUUUUUGAGACCGGCGCACGGUGAGUAACGCGUAUGCAACCUACCUUAUACAGGGGAAUAGCCCGAAGAAAUUCGGAUUAAUGCUCCAUGGUUUAUCGAUAUGGCAUCGUAUUGAUAAUAAAGAUUUAUCGGUAUAAGAUGGGCAUGCGUAUCAUUAGCUAGUUGGUGUGGUAACGGCAUACCAAGGCAACGAUGAUUAGGGGUCCUGAGAGGGAGAUCCCCCACACUGGUACUGAGACACGGACCAGACUCCUACGGGAGGCAGCAGUGAGGAAUAUUGGUCAAUGGAGGCAACUCUGAACCAGCCAUGCCGCGUGCAGGAUGACGGUCCUAUGGAUUGUAAACUGCUUUUGUACAGGAAGAAACCUCCCUACGAGUAGGGACUUGACGGUACUGUAAGAAUAAGGAUCGGCUAACUCCGUGCCAGCAGCCGCGGUAAUACGGAGGAUCCGAGCGUUAUCCGGAAUUAUUGGGUUUAAAGGGUUCGUAGGCGGCUUUGUAAGUCAGUGGUGAAAUUUCCUAGCUUAACUAGGACACUGCCAUUGAUACUGCAGAGCUUGAAUAAUAUGGAAGUAACUAGAAUAUGUAGUGUAGCGGUGAAAUGCUUAGAUAUUACAUGGAAUACCAAUUGCGAAGCAGGUUACUACGUAUUUAUUGACGCUGAUGAACGAAAGCGUGGAGAGCGAACAGGAUUAGAUACCUGGGUAGUCC